GUACGAUGUGGAGGAAAAAAAAGCCUCAGAUCAAAGGAAUCAUUUGGUAGGUGCAACCUUCCAGGACCUGUCUGUCAGAAAAGAAAAGGAAGAAAAUUCCCCAGCCAGGCUCCAGAGUCAGUUGGGUGGCAGUGUGGGACAGUGCGUGCAAGAACAAUUGCCUAGAGAAGAUUUAUAAUCUUUUCUGUCUGGGAGGUGUGCUACUAAGAAUGGAUGAAGAUGUACAAAUGAACCUCUAUGAGCACUGUACUGAGGAAAAUGAAA
RNAcentral lists this long non-coding RNA (264 nucleotides) under Calidris pugnax (ruff). RNAcentral describes it as "lncRNA (ENSCPUG00000004892.1)". Lineage: Eukaryota; Metazoa; Chordata; Aves; Charadriiformes; Scolopacidae. The record is from RNAcentral.